GACGGAGGGCGCAAGCGUUGUUCGGAAUUACUGGGCGUAAAGCGCGGGCAGGUGGUCUGUUAAGUCGUUUGUGAAACUCCGGGGCUCAACCCCGUGAAAUGCGUACGAUACUGGCAGGCUGGAGAUCGGUAGAGGCUAGCGGAAUUCCUGGUGUAGCGGUGGAAGGCGUAGAUAUCAGGAAGAACACCUGUGGCGAAGGCGGCUAGCUGGGCCGAGUCUGACACUCAUCCGCGAAAGCGUGGGGAGCAAACAGG
Molecule: ribosomal RNA, 254 nt
Filed under: uncultured bacterium
Lineage: Bacteria
Description: partial 16S ribosomal RNA
Rfam family: Bacterial small subunit ribosomal RNA
Source: RNAcentral